AGAGUUGAUUCUGGCUCAGGAUGAACGCUGGCGGCGUGCUUAACACAUGCAAGUCGAACGAAGCAGUUAUCACGAUCCUUCGGGGUGACGAUUACUGACUGAGUGGCGGACGGGUGAGUAACGCGUGGGUAACCUACCUUGUACAGGGGGACAACAGUUGGAAACGACUGCUAAUACCGCAUAAGCGCACAGCUUCGCAUGAAGCAGUGUGAAAAGUUUUUUCGGUACAAGAUGGACCCGCGUCUGAUUAGCUAGUUGGUGAGGUAACGGCCCACCAAGGCGACGAUCAGUAGCCGACCUGAGAGGGUGACCGGCCACAUUGGGACUGAGACACGGCCCAAACUCCUACGGGAGGCAGCAGUGGGGAAUAUUGCACAAUGGGCGAAAGCCUGAUGCAAGCGACGCCGCGUGAGCGAAGAAGUAUUUCGGUAUGUAAAGCUCUAUCAGCAGGGAAGAUAAUGACGGUACCUGACUAAGAAGCACCGGCCAAAUACGUGCCAGCCGCGGC
This 508-nucleotide ribosomal RNA is filed under the name uncultured bacterium. RNAcentral describes it as "bacterial SSU rRNA". It matches the Rfam family "Bacterial small subunit ribosomal RNA", at positions 8 to 518 of the family's 1533-position model. The record is from RNAcentral.